RNAcentral lists this ribosomal RNA (1371 nucleotides) under uncultured bacterium. RNAcentral describes it as "bacterial SSU rRNA". It matches the Rfam family "Bacterial small subunit ribosomal RNA", at positions 28 to 1381 of the family's 1533-position model. The record is from RNAcentral.
GAUGAACGCUGGCGGCGUGCCUAAUACAUGCAAGUCGAGCGAACGGACGAGAAGCUUGCUUCUCUGAUGUUAGCGGCGGACGGGUGAGUAACACGUGGAUAACCUACCUAUAAGACUGGGAUAACUUCGGGAAACCGGAGCUAAUACCGGAUAAUAUUUUGAACCGCAUGGUUCAGAAGUGAAAGACGGUCUUGCUGUCACUUAUAGAUGGAUCCGCGCUGCAUUAGCUAGUUGGUAAGGUAACGGCUUACCAAGGCAACGAUGCAUAGCCGACCUGAGAGGGUGAUCGGCCACACUGGAACUGAGACACGGUCCAGACUCCUACGGGAGGCAGCAGUAGGGAAUCUUCCGCAAUGGGCGAAAGCCUGACGGAGCAACGCCGCGUGAGUGAUGAAGGUCUUCGGAUCGUAAAACUCUGUUAUUAGGGAAGAACAUAUGUGUAAGUAACUGUGCACAUCUUGACGGUACCUAAUCAGAAAGCCACGGCUAACUACGUGCCAGCAGCCGCGGUAAUACGUAGGUGGCAAGCGUUAUCCGGAAUUAUUGGGCGUAAAGCGCGCGUAGGCGGUUUUUUAGUCUGAUGUGAAAGCCCACGGCUCAUUCGUGGAGGGUCAUUGGAAACUGGAAAACUUGAGUGCAGAAGAGGAAAGUGGAAUUCCAUGUGUAGCGGUGAAAUGCGCAGAGAUAUGGAGGAACACCAGUGGCGAAGGCGACUUUCUGGUCUGUAACUGACGCUGAUGUGCGAAAGCGUGGGGAUCAAACAGGAUUAGAUACCCUGGUAGUCCACGCCGUAAACGAUGAGUGCUAAGUGUUAGGGGGUUUCCGCCCCUUAGUGCUGCAGCUAACGCAUUAAGCACUCCGCCUGGGGAGUACGACCGCAAGGUUGAAACUCAAAGGAAUUGACGGGGACCCGCACAAGCGGUGGAGCAUGUGGUUUAAUUCGAAGCAACGCGAAGAACCUUACCAAAUCUUGACAUCCUUUGACAACUCUAGAGAUAGAGCCUUCCCCUUCGGGGGACAAAGUGACAGGUGGUGCAUGGUUGUCGUCAGCUCGUGUCGUGAGAUGUUGGGUUAAGUCCCGCAACGAGCGCAACCCUUAAGCUUAGUUGCCAUCAUUAAGUUGGGCACUCUAAGUUGACUGCCGGUGACAAACCGGAGGAAGGUGGGGAUGACGUCAAAUCAUCAUGCCCCUUAUGAUUUGGGCUACACACGUGCUACAAUGGACAAUACAAAGGGCAGCGAAACCGCGAGGUCAAGCAAAUCCCAUAAAGUUGUUCUCAGUUCGGAUUGUAGUCUGCAACUCGACUACAUGAAGCUGGAAUCGCUAGUAAUCGUAGAUCAGCAUGCUACGGUGAAUACGUUCCCGGGUCU